UUUUCCUUGAGUUCAACUUGAGUUGCCAGAAUCUGAAUCUAACUGAUUUCUUGUACUACUUGGAGCCACAUAUAGAAAGGUAAGACUGGUCAUUUUGAAAGUAACACCAAGGAGAUGUUUGAUAACCAGCUGUGACUGUUACCUGCUACACAGAUGACAGGAUAAGUACUCUCUGAACAUCCCUUGGGGUCACAGUCUAGACUUGGCCUCAAGAGACAAGUGUUUACUGCCCCAUGGAAAAAUGGCUCGGGAUGUAUGGGCACUGGGACCAAAUUCCACCCUGUGGCAGCAGCCAGCUGCUGUGGCUUGAAUGUGUUUUGUCCCCACCAGAGCACAUACUGAGGUAUGGUCCCCAGUGUGGCAGUGGAGAGAGGAGUGGGGACUGUAGAGAGAUGAGAGGCUACACUGGCUGCUGCAUGGGAAGGCUGUUACCCAGGUAGCCAGCACCGUCUGUGCGUCUCUGCUGACCGCCCUCACCCAUGCUCCCACCCUGUGUCGCCAACCACCAUGGUGUCCUUCCUCACCAGAAGCUGAGCAGGUGCUAGGGCCUUGCUCUUGAACUUUUCACCUCCAAAACUGCACACCAAAUGAACCACAUUCCUUUAUUAAUUAUAGCCUCAGUAUUUUGUUACAGUGACAGAAUAUGGACUGAGACACUGACCAUGUUCUGCAUAGCUCAGAAGAGCCUCUCUUAAUGCUGCAGCAGGCAUCUGUCAAAUAACCCCAGUCUACCUGGGAACUUGGGAGCUAGUGUUGCUUUCACUGGGUUUCCCUGGUGACCCUCCCAUGGCUGCCCUGGUGCUGGGAGACACCUCUUCUGUGCCUAUGGGAUCAGGGUGGGGAGCGUCCUCGGGUUUCUUGGUGUCUGUAAGAGCAUGGAUCCCUAAACUUCCAUGUCAGAUCUAAGCACGUGUGCUACCAACGGAACGCCAAACUCCCCGAUGCCCUAGAAACUACAGUCUUAGUUUUCAGAAAUAUUUGUUUUCUCUUCUGUCAUUUAUUUAGUUUGUAAGAGAUGGGGUCUUACAAUGUUGCCAAGGAUAACUGCAAACUCCUGGGCUCAAGCAAUUCUCCCAUCUCAGCCUCCCAAGUAACAGACUACAUGCCUGACAAGAAAUGACAUUCUUAGAGAAUUGUCCCAAAGGUCUGUCUGCCAUUCACUUGUUUUGCUGAACCUUGGGUACUUAGCCAAGAAAAGCCUGUGCUGCACACUGGAGGAUGGGUACAUGUGUCUGCAAUGCUCAUGAAUCCACACACUGACAUCGCCUCCUCUGAGUGUGCCAAGCCAAGGGGGUGCCAGCCCAUUCUCUGAGGUGGCCACAUCCAUCCAGGACCAGGGCUCAGUCUCACACUCUCUCCACCUCCCUCACCCCACUUUACUACCCUGCCUCAGUUUCUCACUGACAGCUCUUUUCCUUUUACCCCAGCUCCGCUGCUUGUCAGCUCUGUGGCCUUGAGAUAAUUGACUUUAACCUCUCCAACCUCAGCCUCCUUAGCUGCAAAAUGGGGACAAUGAUGGCCCUGGGCUCACAGAGCUCCAUCUGAAUUAAGGGGACUCCAGGUGAGACCUGGCUUUGCACUUGGCACAGGAAGGGGUCCACAGAAAUGAUUACUGUUGUUCUUAACUAUCCUGUUUGCACAAGAUGCUUCAAGUCUUUCUGUCGUGAGUUACAGACUAAAUAAAUCACUUACACACUUUUUUGGUUAAUUAAAAGAAAAGUCUUUCUUUGGAGUAACAGCAGGUUUCUCCUCGGCGGCUGCUUUUUCCUCCAUUCAGUGCUGUCUGAAUAAAUUAAUUUGCCUGCAGUUUUAUAGAGCAGCAAAAGUAAGGGAGACAUUGUGACAAGCCUUCAUGAAGUUCUAAACACUAAAAUGUUACAUGGAAAUUUAAAAAAAAAAUCUAUGGAAAUCAUUGAACUGAGGCCUUGAUUGCUUUUUGGCUGAGGGGAGGCAAAUUCAAUGCAAGCCGUUGCAGUGGAGCUCGUUCUCUGUCUCCUAGCCUGCUAACCCUGGUGGCCGAACCAGGCAUCAGAGAACAUGUGAGGACCCCUGGCCGAGGUCCAGGAAUCUCAACUCUCAAGUAGUUUGGAUCUUUUCCUGCCCUGUUUGAGGUUUGCUUGACUCGCCAGAGCAAGCUGGUUUUGUGUUGAGGCAGCAUGGUGUGGAUGGAUGUGCUUGAGCACUGCUUAUGUUGAAGUUCCUGAGUUGACCCACAUUCACGAUGUCACUGCCCAUUCAUUCCACCUUGGCAUGGACUAGUUCUGGCCAGUGUUUAUGGUGGCCUGCACUGGCAGAGGUAUGACUGAGACUGAGCUCUAAGUGUCUCCCUUCUAUCUCACCUGCGGUAUUCUUUGCACAUCUUGGUUUGUUAGGAGCUGCAUUAAUUGAGUUUGUAGGCUAAAUCGAGUGCCCUGGAAGUCAUCCAGCUCUUCAUAUUGAUUUGCUGUAUGAGCUCUGGACUAAUAGUCUGAAGUGAGGCUGUCAUUUAGUUCUGCAGGGAAAGGGAAGCUUUUAGGCCCUGGCUUCCCUUCUCAGCUCCUCUGCUUUUACUCUGCUCCUCUCUUCUUAGAAAGCAAAACCAUUUCCCUUUAAUUGGGCUGCGGAGAAACAGGCCAGCCUCAGGCUUCGAAGCCACUCAGCCUCACAGCCCCACUGUUUCCUGUCUGAUUUCUGUAGGGUGGGAAGUGGAUGUGUGCUCUGGAUGAAGUGGAUCUGUGCACAUGGAAGCCCAGGCAUCUGCAGGGACAGAGGAGCUUGGCCUUCAUUUUGUGAGGAAGAGGCUGCGGAGCAAGCAAGCCUCAUGCAUGCCCUGAGCAAGCCCUCUGCAGUGGCUGCUUCAUUUUGCCUUCCAUUCAAUCAGCUGUCCUUUAUUUAUGUUUAAGAAGUGCAUACUGUUAAAUGAGAUAAAUCAGGCCCACAAGCUUAAAUAUAGCGUAACUUUUCUUAUAUGAGAAGCCCAAAGUAUAAAAAAAUUUAAAAAACAAAAUAAAAGAUAGGCAAUAGGAAACAGGGAGAUAGAUCGUUUGCAAAUGGGAAAGGGAUCCAGAGAGGGGAGAGGAAGAGGAAUAAAAAGAAGUAAGUGCACACCAGGCACACAUACCUACCAUCUAAGUUUCAUGUGUAACAUACUACAAACAUGUACUAAGAACAAAUUUAUAAAACAUGCUCCAUAGAAAUAUAACUUACUAGAACAGAACAUACACACCAUGUUUAAGAUAUGUUUAAAAUAAUUACAUAAGUAAUAAAUAUGUGUUUCGAUGAAUUCCCUUUCAUAAUUGGCUUUUCAAAUCAACGUGCUCAUAUUUUUCAUCAGAGUUUUAGAGACAUAAUGAAAAACUACAUACUGUUCUUUCAGUUUCUUGGCCAUCCUUAUAAUUGUAGGUUUAUAGUUUCUAAAAAUCAAGCAUGAAAAGUUAACUACUCCAUUCCUGGUUUUAUUUCCCCCAAACACAAAUGAGGUGAACAGGUCCCAUGCCCAGGUGUCAAGAACUCUGAAGUCCACACCAAUGGACAUGAACGAGCAGGGAGAAGGCAGAGAGAAGGCACAUGCAGAACGAAUGGCAAAAUCAGAGCAGCCGCCACUUGGCAAACACUGCAGUGGAGACCGAGUCAGGUGGAAGGUGGCACUUCCCAGUGGGGCAUGCUGCAGACAAAGCCCUAACAUGGAGCCUUGGGGACAUCCAGGUCUACACUGCACUGGAGGAGUAUCCAGAUCUGGAGGGCACCAUCAUCCAGCUGACACUAUCAUCCGAGGACCCACAAAGAAAUUUCAAAGGUAGAGCAGGCGAUCGUAUUCAAGAUUUUGAAAAUUCUGGGAAAACAGGAAGCUGGAAUUUAGUGUGUGAUUUAUUACUGGACCCAGCACAAGACUUCUGAGUACAGAAGAAUAGAAAGCACCUUCCGGUCAUGACUACAUGAUUCCAGCUGGAGUUUAUUGAAUAAUAAGGGGCCACACAGACCAGCAGCACCCCGCUUUGUGGCUGAGAAGGUGGAUUCCCUAAGGGGCUGACUGCUGGGACCUCAAAGUUAAAAAUUUUAAGAGGAAGGAAAUAUCGAUGAUGAUCCCGGCAGUGGCCCUUACAAGUUGCAAGAACACUGGCAUCCUGUGAUCUGUAUCCUCAAAUUCUAUCUGUCACCAUCUUGUUUUGGGGACAGAGCGGAAGUCUCUCAGCCUCAUGGAGCAGGAAGCUGGGCCCAGCAGUUGCUUCCACUCAGGAAGACCAGGCCUUCCUUGAGGCAGAGCAUAGGCGACUGUCUUGGAGUCUGAGAAGAGACCGAGCUCUUCCAGUGCAGGAAUUCCCUCACCAGCAUCUUGGACAAAUGGCUGCCCACCUCUGAGUGAGCUUGUACUAGAGGAGAAAGCUGAGGUUGCUACAGCCCUCUGGGGGUCAUGGAGCUCCCACUAGGCCAGAUCCUUCCACAUCCUACUUCCAAAUCUUGCUCUUAGGCUCUGACCACUGCUCUUAGAAGCUACAUGUGAAGGGGACUUGGUGUAUGGCGUCAUGUCACCAACUCCCUCCUUGGCGUGAAGGCUUGUGUGCUGCAUCUGGGAUCCAGGCAUGGAUAUACCCCAGUCCUUGACCCUUCACUCUCCAGCCAAGGCUGCUGGUCAGUUCUUUAUUCAAUCAGGAGCAAAUCUCCCCACUCUUGCCUCUCCCAGUGUGCAUCACACCCCCCAUGCCAUCCAUGAGACAGGCCCUGUGUGUCACCCCACAGCCAGGUGCAACAUCCACCUACCUGUAGA
Molecule: non-coding RNA, 4744 nt
Organism: Heterocephalus glaber (naked mole-rat)
Lineage: Eukaryota; Metazoa; Chordata; Mammalia; Rodentia; Bathyergidae
Source: RefSeq, a predicted model, not a curated record